RNAcentral lists this ribosomal RNA (497 nucleotides) under uncultured bacterium. Its description in RNAcentral is "partial 16S ribosomal RNA". It matches the Rfam family "Bacterial small subunit ribosomal RNA", at positions 28 to 507 of the family's 1533-position model. The record is from RNAcentral.
GAUGAACGCUGGCGGCGUGCCUAAUACAUGCAGGUCGAGCGAACAGACGAGGGGCUUGCUCCUCUGACGUUAGCGGCGGACGGGUGAGUAACACGUGGAUAACCUACCUAUAAGACUGGGAUAACUUCGGGAAACCGGAUCUAAUACCGGAUAACAUGUUGAACCGCAUGGUUCAACAGUGAAAGACGGUCUUGCUGUCGCUUAUAGAUGGAUCCGCGCCGCAUUAGCUAGUUGGUAAGGUAACGGCUUACCAAGGCAACGAUGCGUAGCCGACCUGAGAGGGUGAUCGGCCACACUGGAACUGAGACACGGUCCAGACUCCUACGGGAGGCAGCAGUAGGGAAUCUUCCGCAAUGGGCGAAAGCCUGACGGAGCAACGCCGCGUGAGUGAAGAAGGUCUUCGGAUCGUAAAACUCUGUUAUUAGGGAAGAAAAAAUGUGUAAGUAACUAUGCACGUCUUGACGGUACCUAAUCAGAAAGCCCCGGCUAACUACGUG